Molecule: Y RNA, 103 nt
Filed under: Neogale vison (American mink)
Lineage: Eukaryota; Metazoa; Chordata; Mammalia; Carnivora; Mustelidae
Description: Neovison vison (American mink) Y RNA (ENSNVIG00000020234.1)
Rfam family: Y RNA
About the family: Y RNAs are components of the Ro ribonucleoprotein particle (Ro RNP), in association with Ro60 and La proteins.
Source: Rfam by way of RNAcentral
GGCUGGUUUGACUGCAGUGGUAUUUUCAAUUAAUUGAUCACAGCCAGUUAGAGAUUUCUUUGUUUUUUUCUCCACUUCCACUCUUUCACUUGACUAGACUUAA